GAUGAGCGCUGGCGGCGUGCCUAAUACAUGCAAGUCGAGCGAACAGAUGAGGAGCUUGCUCCUCUGACGUUAGCGGCGGACGGGUGAGUAACACGUGGAUAACCUACCUAUAAGACUGGGAUAACUUCGGGAAACCGGAGCUAAUACCGGAUAAUAUAUUGAACCGCAUGGUUCAAUAGUGAAAGACGGUUUUGCUGUCACUUAUAGAUGGAUCCGCGCCGCAUUAGCUAGUUGGUAAGGUAACGGCUUACCAAGGCAACGAUGCGUAGCCGACCUGAGAGGGUGAUCGGCCACACUGGAACUGAGACACGGUCCUGACUCCUACGGGAGGCAGCAGUAGGGAAUCUUCCGCAAUGGGCGAAAGCCUAACGGAGCAACGCCGCGUGAGUGAUGAAGGUCUUCGGAUCGUAAAACUCUGUUAUUAGGGAAGAACAAAUGUGUAAGUAACUAUGCACGUCUUGACGGUACCUAAUCAGAAAGCCACGGCUAACUACGUG
This 497-nucleotide ribosomal RNA is filed under the name uncultured bacterium. Its description in RNAcentral is "partial 16S ribosomal RNA". It matches the Rfam family "Bacterial small subunit ribosomal RNA", at positions 28 to 507 of the family's 1533-position model. The record is from RNAcentral.